AAUCCAUAGGUUAAUGAGGCGAACCGGGGGAACUGAAACAUCUAAGUACCCCGAGGAAAAGAAAUCAACCGAGAUUCCCCCAGUAGCGGCGAGCGAACGGGGAGGAGCCCAGAGCCUGAAUCAGCAUGUGUGUUAGUGGAAGCGUCUGGAAAGGCGCGCGAUACAGGGUGACAGCCCCGUACACAAAAGCGCAUGUGCUGUGAGCUCGAUGAGUAGGGCGGGACACGUGGUAUCCUGUCUGAAUAUGGGGGGACCAUCCUCCAAGGCUAAAUACUCCUGACUGACCGAUAGUGAACCAGUACCGUGAGGGAAAGGCGAAAAGAACCCCGGCGAGGGGAGUGAAAAAGAACCUGAAACCGUGUACGUACAAGCAGUGGGAGCACAGGUUUACCUGUGUGACUGCGUACCUUUUGUAUAAUGGGUCAGCGACUUAUAUUCUGUAGCAAGGUUAACCGCAUAGGGGAGCCGCAGGGAAACCGAGUCUUAAC
Molecule: ribosomal RNA, 488 nt
Filed under: Salmonella enterica subsp. enterica serovar Indiana
Lineage: Bacteria; Pseudomonadati; Pseudomonadota; Gammaproteobacteria; Enterobacterales; Enterobacteriaceae
Description: partial 23S ribosomal RNA
Rfam family: Bacterial large subunit ribosomal RNA
Source: RNAcentral